CACGCAGGCGGCUGCUUAAGUCUGACGUGAAAUCUCCUGGCUUAACUGGGAGGGGUCGUUGGAAACUGAGUAGCUUGAGGCAGUGAGAGGGGUGUAGAAUUCCCGGUGUAGUGGUGGAAUGCGUAGAUAUCGGGAGGAAUACCAGAGGCGAAGGCGACACCCUGGCACUGACCUGACGCUCAUGUGCGAAAGCGUGGGGAGCGAACG
RNAcentral lists this ribosomal RNA (207 nucleotides) under uncultured bacterium. RNAcentral's name for it is "partial 16S ribosomal RNA". It matches the Rfam family "Bacterial small subunit ribosomal RNA", at positions 568 to 774 of the family's 1533-position model. The record is from RNAcentral.